Molecule: unclassified non-coding RNA, 287 nt
Filed under: Bombus terrestris (buff-tailed bumblebee)
Lineage: Eukaryota; Metazoa; Arthropoda; Insecta; Hymenoptera; Apidae
Description: misc RNA ENSBTSG00005037699.1
Source: RNAcentral
UGGAAAUUCACCAUGGGACAACCGCGCGUCUGAUUCGUGACAGUUCGAGCGGCGUCGUGGAUGAGACGGAGGGAACAACACAACGGGGGAAUACGAGUUGCUCUUCGCCUUGAUCACUGGUCGAUAGCCAGUGUUCUAGGACUCGCGGCGAUCGUCUCUUCAUUAGGCAGCGCCAGCGCGUCGAACCAGAGGAAAUGAAGAGAGGGUGUGGUGCCAGUUCGACGUUACAGCCGUAGUUGACGUUUGCUGCCGCAGGGUAUCUCGAUUAUAUUGGAAUUAAGAACGGG